This 434-nucleotide ribosomal RNA is filed under the name uncultured bacterium. RNAcentral describes it as "bacterial SSU rRNA". It matches the Rfam family "Bacterial small subunit ribosomal RNA", at positions 28 to 477 of the family's 1533-position model. The record is from RNAcentral.
AGUGAACGCUGGCGGCGUGCUUAACACAUGCAAGUCGAGCGGUAAGGCCCUUUCGGGGGUACACGAGCGGCGAACGGGUGAGUAACACGUGGGUGACCUGCCCUCAGCUCUGGGAUAAGCCUGGGAAACCGGGUCUAAUACUGGAUAUGACUCCAUGACGCAUGUUGUGGGGUGGAAAGCCUUGUGCGGCUGAGGAUGGGCCCGCGGCCUAUCAGCUUGUUGGUGGGGUGAUGGCCUACCAAGGCGACGACGGGUAGCCGGCCUGAGAGGGCGACCGGCCACACUGGGACUGAGACACGGCCCAGACUCCUACGGGAGGCAGCAGUGGGGAAUUUUCCGCAAUGGGCGAAAGCCUGACGGAGUGACGCCGCGUGUGGGACGAAGGCCCUUGGGUCGUAAACCUCUUCAGCUCCGACGAAGCGAGAGUGACGGUA